Molecule: ribosomal RNA, 618 nt
Filed under: Helicobacter pylori
Lineage: Bacteria; Pseudomonadati; Campylobacterota; Epsilonproteobacteria; Campylobacterales; Helicobacteraceae
Description: partial 23S ribosomal RNA
Rfam family: Bacterial large subunit ribosomal RNA
Source: RNAcentral
GAUGUAUAGUCAAGUAAUUAAGUGCAUGUGGUGGAUGCCUUGGCAGUCAGAGGUGAUGAAAGACGUGAUAGCCUGCGAAAAGCUCCGGGGAGGCGGCAAAUAUCCUUUGAUCCGGAGAUGUCUGAAUGGGGGAACCCACCUACUUUAAGGUAGGUAUUGCAACAUGAAUACAUAGUGUUGCAAGGCGAACGAGGGGAAGUGAAACAUCUCAGUACCCUUAGGAAAAGAAAUCAAUUGAGAUUCCCUCAGUAGCGGCGAGCGAACGGGGAUCAGCCCAUUAAGUUAUGUGUGUUUUAGUGGAACGCUCUGGGAAGUGCGAACGUAGAGGGUGAUAUUCCCGUACACGAAAGGGCACACAUAAUGAUGACGAGUAGGGCGAGGCACGUGAAACCUUGUCUGAAUAUGGGGGGACCAUCCUCCAAGGCUAAAUACUCCUGACUGACCGAUAGUGAACCAGUACCGUGAGGGAAAGGCGAAAAGAACCCCUGUGAGGGGAGUGAAAUAGAUCCUGAAACCGCAUGCAUACAAGCAGUGGGAGCACCUUCGUGGUGUGACUGCGUACCUUUUGUAUAAUGGGUCAGCGACUUAUAUUCAGUAGCGAGGUUAACCGUAUAGGGG